UCUGCUGAAACGAGCAUGGAUUAUUGGAACAAUACAGAGAAAAUCAGCACAGAUCCUGCCCAGGCUGACACGCACAUUUAUGAAGUGUUCCGUAUUUAA
Aotus nancymaae (Ma's night monkey) is the source of this 99-nucleotide small nuclear RNA. The record is from Ensembl. Lineage: Eukaryota; Metazoa; Chordata; Mammalia; Primates; Aotidae.